GACGAACGCUGGCGGCGUGCUUAACACAUGCAAGUCGAACGGAAAGGCCCUGCUUUUGUGGGGUGCUCGAGUGGCGAACGGGUGAGUAACACGUGAGUAACCUGCCCUUGACUUUGGGAUAACUUCAGGAAACUGGGGCUAAUACCGGAUAGGAGCUCCUGCUGCAUGGUGGGGGUUGGAAAGUUUCGGCGGUUGGGGAUGGACUCGCGGCUUAUCAGCUUGUUGGUGGGGUAGUGGCUUACCAAGGCUUUGACGGGUAGCCGGCCUGAGAGGGUGACCGGCCACAUUAGGACUGAGAUACGGCCCAGACUCCUACGGGAGGCAGCAGUGGGGAAUAAUGCACAAUGGGCGGAAGCCUGAUGCAGCAACGCCGCGUGCGGGAUGACGGCCUUCGGGUUGUAAACCGCUUUCGCCUGUGACGAAGCGUGAGUGACGGUAAUGGGUAAAGAAGCACCGGCUAACUACGUG
Molecule: ribosomal RNA, 468 nt
Filed under: uncultured bacterium
Lineage: Bacteria
Description: partial 16S ribosomal RNA
Rfam family: Bacterial small subunit ribosomal RNA
Source: RNAcentral